GACGAACGCUGGCGGCGUGCUUAACACAUGCAAGUCGAACGGAAAGGCGCUGCUCUUGCUGGGUGCUCGUGUGGCGCACGGGUGUGUAACACGUGAGUAUCCUGCCCUUGACUUUGUGAUAACUCCAGGAAACUGGGGAUAAUACCGGAGAGGAGCUGCUGAUGCAUGGGGGGGGAUGGAAAGUUUCGGCGGUUGGGGAUGGACUGUCGGCUUAUCAGCUUGUUGGUGGGGUAGUGGCUUACCAAGGCUUUGACGGAUAGCCGGCCUGAGAGGGUGGCCAGCGCCCAUGCGCCUGCGGGAGGGCGCAGUCGCGAACGUGGGGCAACGGGGGGAAACCUUGCACAGUGAGGGCGCGUGUGAGAAAGCGGCGCCGGGUUCGGAAUACCGUCCUUUGGGGGAAGAACCGCUUUCGCCUGAGACGAAGCGGGAGUGACGGUAACGGGUAAAGAAGCACCGGCUAACUACGUG
RNAcentral lists this ribosomal RNA (468 nucleotides) under uncultured bacterium. RNAcentral describes it as "partial 16S ribosomal RNA". It matches the Rfam family "Bacterial small subunit ribosomal RNA", at positions 28 to 507 of the family's 1533-position model. The record is from RNAcentral.